RNAcentral lists this long non-coding RNA (823 nucleotides) under Homo sapiens (human). RNAcentral's name for it is "HSALNT0407727". Lineage: Eukaryota; Metazoa; Chordata; Mammalia; Primates; Hominidae. The record is from RNAcentral.
UGCUGGCAUCAAGUAAGCCGACUACCUCGGCAAAGGCUUAGGGACAAGAGACCAGCAGCCUGAACUGGCUGGGGCAUCCGGAAGGCUUAGAUCUUGUGGCCAAGAGUUCAGACCGUGGCGAAGUGGAGAGUGACAUGCAGUUGGAUGGCGGUGACUGCGUGAUGAUUGUAGGGGUCAAGGAUCAGCUCAGCAUUCUUGGGCAAUGUGCUGUAACUGGCGGCCUGGGUCUAGGCACAUGACAUUGUUCUUUGGCCCUUUGAAGGUCCUGCAACCCUGGUUCCAGUCUGGCAAGCAUUGUAGACCUGGCUGCUGAAGACUGACGGGGCCCAGGGUCCGCUGCCCCCACCGCCAUCACCACCUCGGAACCCAGGGUAACGCUGUCAGUCUUUGAGCCUACGAGGAAACCAUUCGGAAGCUCCAGAACCCAGGCCCUAAUCACAACGCCCCUAUCCAGCAGGAAGCAGCCAGAUGAUCAACGACGCCCUUUUUCCUUUUUAUACUAAAGUAAGAAAUAAGAAUGUUAGCCCAAACUGCACUAUUUUGCAGACCCCUACCAUUUUACAAACUGGUCAGAGUGGAAAAUUCCACCAGGGCCUGAGCUGUGAGAAACAUCCUGUCAGGCAGGUCCCAGGCCUAACCCCUGGCUGCACUAAAUUCCUUCAUUAUCAGCAGCCAAACACACCGCCCCCACCCCAUUUUCACAACAAUCCCAGACCUCUCCUGCCCGGGACUGUAACUGGUCCAGCCUGUAAGCGGGAAGGGGGCUCUGGCACUAGCUGGUACCCCCUCUCCGCAGGUCUUUCUCCCAAUAAAUCUGUGUUGC